This 250-nucleotide ribosomal RNA is filed under the name uncultured bacterium. Its description in RNAcentral is "partial 16S ribosomal RNA". It matches the Rfam family "Bacterial small subunit ribosomal RNA", at positions 524 to 776 of the family's 1533-position model. The record is from RNAcentral.
UACGAAGGGGGCUAGCGUUGCGCGGAAUCACUGGGCGUAAAGGUGCGUAGGCGGGUCUUUAAGUCAGGGGUGAAAUCCUGGAGCUCAACUCCAGAACUGCCUUUGAUACUGAAGAUCUUGAGUUCGGGAGAGGUGAGUGGAACUGCGAGUGUAGAGGUGAAAUUCGUAGAUAUUCGGAAGAACACCAGUGGCGAAGGCGGCUCACUGGUCCGGUACUGACGCUGAGGUGCGAAAGCGUGGGAGCAACAGG